ACUCAAAGGAAUUGACGGGGACCCGCACAAGCGGUGGAGCGUGUUGCUUAAUUCGAUGUUAAGCGAAGAACCUUACCAGGGUUUGACUUCCUUGGAAUUACUGCGAAAGUAGUGAGUGCCUUCGGGAACCAAGUGACAGGUGUUGCAUGGCCGUCGUCAGCUCGUGUCGUGAGAUGUUUGGUUAAGUCCAUCAACGAGCGCAACCCUUAUGAAUAGUUGAAUUUUUCUAUUUAGACUGCCCCGGUAACGGGGAGGAAGGGGGGGAUGAUGUCAGGUCAGUAUUACCCUUAUACCCUGGGCUGCAAACGCGCUACAAUGGCCGGUACAAAGGGCAGCUAAGCCGCGAGGCGGAGCAAAUCCCAUCAAAGCCGGUCCCAGUUCGGAUUGCAGGCUGAAACUCGCCUGCAUGAAGUCGGAAUCGCUAGUAAUCGCAGGUCAGCACACUGCGGUGAAUACGUUCCCGGGUCUUGUACACACCGCCCGU
RNAcentral lists this ribosomal RNA (484 nucleotides) under uncultured bacterium. Its description in RNAcentral is "partial 16S ribosomal RNA". It matches the Rfam family "Bacterial small subunit ribosomal RNA", at positions 899 to 1397 of the family's 1533-position model. The record is from RNAcentral.